AUUUACAACACCUGAGCUAGACACAAAGGUUCUCCACGUCCCCACCAGACUCAGGAGCCCAGCUGGCUUCACCCAGUGGAUCCCGUGCCUGGGCUUCAGGUGGAGCUGCCUGCCAGUCCCGCGCCGUGCGCCCGCACUCCUCAGCCCUUGGGUGGUCGAUGGGACUCGGCGCCGUGGAGCAGGGGGCGGCGCUCAUCCGGCGCCCAUGGAAUGGGUGGGAGGCUCAGGCAUGGCGGGCUGCAGGUCCCGAGCCCUGACCCGCGGGAAGGCAGCUAAGGCCCGGUGAGAAAUCGAGCGCAGCGCCGGUGGGCUGGCACUGCUGGGGGACCGAGUACACCCUCCACAGCCGCUGGCCGAGGUGCUGAGCCCCUCAUUGCCCGGCUGCUCCGAGUGCGGGGCCCGCCAAGCCCACGCCCACCCGGAACUCCAGCUGACCCGGAACUCCAGCUGGCCCGCAAGCGCCGCGCGCAGCCCGGGUUCCCGCUCGCGCCUCUCCUUCCACACCUGCCUGCAAGCUGAGGGAGCCGGUUCCGGCCUUGGCCAGCCCAGAAAGGGGCUCCCACAGUGCAGCGGUGGGCUGAAGGUUCCUCAAGUGCCUCUAAAGUGGGAGCCCAGGCAGAGGAGAGCGAGCGAGGGCUGUGAGGCCUGCCAGCACGCUGUGACCUCUCAGAAGUACACACUUGGCUGGAAAGAGAAGACUCUAUAGAGGAGGAACUUACAGCCAGGACCCUGGUUGAAUCAGUACUUAAAAAUGCUCUUAUGAGAAAGGGCAGAGCUGCAUUUUACUUAACCUAAACUCAUUUUUCACAAAGCCCCAAGACCUGGAUGACCAGGAAGCCAGCAACUCGACCAGAAUGGCAGGCUGUGGAAAGAAGUCAUUUGGUGAGCUUCAGACUGAAGUAAAAGAGCCAGAAGAUUAUAGGACUCCCCUUCCUCCAGGACCUGAAGAUGGAAUCCCCAGAGUCUUAAGAGGAGCCACCAGAAAAAGAUCAAAAGACAUCUACUAGAAGCUUUCUUCGAUACCACCUGAGUUCACUGUAGAAGGCAACUUUGAACUAAGCAAAACAUUAUGUUCUGGACAAAUGGUUUGUAUGGCAUAAUCCAAAAUGCCUGAAGAAGAUGCAGUAAAAUAAAUAUUGAUUUCUGAAAACU
RNAcentral lists this long non-coding RNA (1152 nucleotides) under Homo sapiens (human). Its description in RNAcentral is "HSALNT0018961". Lineage: Eukaryota; Metazoa; Chordata; Mammalia; Primates; Hominidae. The record is from RNAcentral.